GGAAAUCCCUCCAAACACUAUCCCUCUCUUUGAAAAUUCCUGCCGCGCCAUUAUUAAUCAACCCCUCUUCUCCGCUCUCUCUCUUUUCCUUCUUUUUUUAACGGUCCUUCGCCGCUGCACAAUCAAUACUCUCUCUCUAUACCUUUCCCUCCAUUCCGCAAUUCUACUGUCCUUACGUUUCCUUCGCUAUCUCGGAUCCCUUUACAAUUACAACACCAUGCCUUUAUCAUCUACCGAAGGGCCGGAAUCCUCUUGUCGGCACCACAACUACAGCAGGAAACAGAAAUCUCUCGGUCUCCUUUGCACUAAUUUCUUGAGCUUGUAUGAUAGGGACGGUAUUGAAGUCAUUGGGCUGGAUGAUGCUGCCUCGAAAUUAGGUCUUUUAUAUAUCUUGAUUACUGUGAUGCAAUUUUUUUUGUUGAUUAUGUUUGCGAUCUGAUUUGGGUGGGAUCUUAACUACAUUGGAUUUUGAGAUCUGCAGGCGUUGAGAGACGGCGGAUCUAUGAUAUUGU
This 512-nucleotide unclassified non-coding RNA is filed under the name Hevea brasiliensis (rubber tree). The record is from RNAcentral. Lineage: Eukaryota; Viridiplantae; Streptophyta; Magnoliopsida; Malpighiales; Euphorbiaceae.